AUGUGCCACCUCUGCCAACUGCUGGUCCGGUCUGGAGACACAGUAGUGCAAGAGGCUGCAGUGUCAGCCAGAGAUGGCAAGCCACCUGACACAGAGUCUCCUGGUCCAGGAGUCAAUAUGGGGCUUUUGGACCGUCUCUGACAAAGGCUGACUCAGACUAUUGGAUGGACACCUCUCCAAACGCACGGGACAAAUCUGGACUCUAGCCAGCCAGGCCCCACGGACUCUUCUGCCCCAGACACAGAGAAGCAGAAGGAGGCCCAAAAACAAGACCCGGGACCACAAACCCCAGCUGCAGGAGUGGGCAGCCACUGCAGCACUUUCUGUGCUGAGCCUCCUGAUCCAGGCACCAAACGAAAGGCCUAUUCGUCACCCAGGGGACAGCUCGCCCCAAUCAGCGAGGACGAGGAAAGGCCAAGGAAGACCAGAAGCCUUGCAUGCGUGAGGGACAUGGAUGAGACUGCCCUGAGGAAGGACAUUGGCAGCCGCUUCCCAGCACUCCACUCCAUGGAGGAAGCAGACGGGAGGCGCACCAUGGAGCUCGAGGUCCGCCAGCUCUGCUCCAACACCCUGCAGUCCCUGGGUGACUCCCCCAGAAAGGCCAAUGUUUUAUGGCCUGGGCUGCUGCUUCAACUGAGCCCAGCAGCCCAUGGGCCAGCCCUGCCUCUCCUCCUGCAGACAUCGGUUAGGGUGGUAAAGAGGAUGCAGGAGGAAGGCAGACUGCCCUUGGCCAGAAGGUUUGGCAAGGAGAACAGAGGGUGUCGGUCAAGCCCCAGGGCCACUCUACCACAGGAGCUGCUGGCUCGGCUGCUGGUGCUCGGUGCAUUUUCGUAUAUGAUGGUGCAGGUCAGAAGGGCAGCCAUGUUCCUCCUCUUCCAGCUGAUAAGCAUGUUCCAGGCCGGGUCGGGCCGAUUCUGGGAUAACUGCGUGAUGGAUAUGCUCCUCUAAGUGGAAGAUCACAAUUCCUGCUUCUGCCAGAGGGAGUGGGAGCAGCAGCUGCUGCAGUUCCUGGAAGACCUUCUCUUCUUCAUCUCGGACCAUACGUGGCUGGGCUGGUUCAUCGCUAGUAUCAGGCGCCAGCUGGCUCACAGUGAUAAGCAGCCUGACAAGUGCAGUAGCUUUCUCUACAAGUGCUGGGGCACCAGGCUGAUGUUUUUUCCAGCAGAGAGCAUCAAGCCCCAGCUAUGGCUUCUGGUGGAGACAGUCGAUUUCUGAGAAGAAGAGGAAAGAGAGGGGAGAUUCUCCCGAGCGCUUGGGCUGUGUGCCAGGCAACACCUAGGUGAGAUUUUCACCAUCCUGGAGCACUGGGAGGAGUUCGUCAGCAGGGUGCAGCUCCAGCCUUCUGCCGGUGGCCCUCUGGAGGAGCCAGCUUCCAUUAAGCAGCUGAGAAGCCUCCUGCUCCUCACCUAUGGGCACGUGGUCCACGCAGGCCCCACGGAUCUCAUCUGAGAGAGCAUAGGCUGCAAGAUCCUGUCUCCCAUGGGGCAACACUAUUUUCUGAGCCCACACGACCCACUGGUGAGAACUGCUUUUGUGAGAAGCCUUGUGCUGGUGGGUGAAGCUGUCCCCAAGUGAGCAGGAUUCCCUUGGUGGGCCAGGACACAUACACCAUGCUGUACCCCCUGCUGGAGAUCCUCAGAGGCAAGGACCUGGCUCAGCUGCAGAGCCCCAUCACCAGCAUGCCCUGCUGGCCAUCUCAUACUUAGGGAAAUUCAAGCCUCGCCUGUCUAAGGAACAGGAGGCUGAGACCAUCAGCCCUUGUAUCACCAGCGCCAUGAUUCAGCGCCCAGCCCUGGUGAAGCUGAGCGGGACUGAGGUGGCAGAAAGCUCUGCUAUCCGGGCAGAGUCUCUCCAACAACUGCCCUGGGAUGGCCUGGAUCUUGUGCUGCAGACGUUUCUGGAGCUGCACUUGACCCCCACAACGCUACUGCAUCUGUUUCUGCACUUGCAGCCGUGGAUCUGCUCUCCCUGGGCCCAGGAGAGGAGCCGAGCUGUGAGAGCCAGUGCCCGUCUCUUCAUGUUCUAUCGCUUCAAAGCCAUCACAAAGGACCUGAAACCCAUGGCAGAGCAGGGCUACAUGGCCGGGCUGCUGACAAGCCAGGCCUUCAAUGUUCAGGAGGCCACCAGAUACUGGGCAUCUCAGGCUGUCUACUGGCUCUUCACGCCUUGCACAGCCGUCGUGUACACCCAGACAGGGGUGGCGACGACCGUGCUGAGCAAGACGCAGAAGGAUGCCAGCUGCAGAGACAGCCCUGCCCAUGUUCCUAUGCUCAUCGCGAAGCACCUGCCGUCGCGUGACCUCAUGCCCUUCAGCUUCACCCUCCUGGAGAAGGGGGAGUGUGCUGACCAGCUGGCGGGCGUCAUGGAGGCAGUGCUGAGAGAGAGAGAAUCAGAGCUACAAGGCCAAGUAAUGGAUCUGCACGCAGCUCUUUCCUACACACUGUGCCCACCCUGGGCGGGGGGGGGGGAUGGCUGAGUGAAGGGACAAGAGACAUCCUACACCUACUGGCCAGACAGCACACCGAGGCCGCGGUCAGCAUCCUCCUGCAGAUGCCCUGGCCUCAUGAGCACCAGGCCAAGGCCAUCUGGAGAUUCCUAGGUGCAGACUCCACACUGACCAGGGAGGUACUGCACAUCCUGCUGUAUGACAGCCCGGAGAAGGGCCGGGCUAAUGCUAAACAGACCCAGGACAGGAGCUUCCGCCAGCCAGCCCGGCUGCCCCCCGGCGACCACACACGUGGCCUGUGGGAGCUGGUCGGGACCCUGGGGCAAGCAGACACGCUGGAUGGACUCGAGGACGACCUGUUCGCCUCUUGCUUUGUCACCAUUGCCUGCUCCUUGGCACGGCACCUCUCGGGAGCCCAGCAGGACUUGUCCAGUGACGCCAGUCCCUGCAGCAUGGCCGUGCAGGCCCUGGUGCGGGUGCUGCACCUCAGGGGCAGUCAGCCAGUUAUGGAGCUCAUGGACCAGGAGUGAGGCUGGCAGUUGCUAGAGGAGGCCCAGCCCAAGGGGUUCACUCUCCUUAGCAGGGCCAUGGUGAUCCACUCAAAGCAGGCCCUGAAGAGCAUCCCGUGGCUCCUCCUUUCCAGCCUCCAGGCCAGCCAGGAGGGCGAACGCAUGGCCUUCACUGUCCUGUUGGCAGAGCAGUCAGCAGAAUCCUCGGGUAUAAGGGCAGGGUGAAGGGCAGUGGCUUCAGCAGAUGAACUGAGCAUGCGCAGUACAGGUGAACAGCAAUCUGGAGGUCAGGAAUAAUAUUCCAAACUCUCUUGUCUUGAGUGAGGAAAGUGUCUUUCUGAAAACCCAGCUCCUGAUCCCGAUCUCACAUCAUUUUUACACUGGUUUCAGGGUGGUCUUCCUUGUGGUGUCUGUCUACGCCUUGCUGCUCCUGAGCUUUCGCUCAGGUGAGUGGAUGAGGGUAGAGACGAGGGUGUUUUGUGUUUUCUAAGUUCAGAUGAAAUGCUCAUGAGGCAUUUAUGCAUUUGUCUGAAUGUCUAACCCUUGAAAUAUAUGGAGACAUUGCUAUUUCAAUGUGCAGCUGAAUGAUCACAUCCAAAUUAGGAGGGAAAAUGAAAUUAUCUUCAUAGACGCUUAGAAUCACAGAUGUUAGUGAGGUAAAAGACCUACUAGGUCAUAUCUAGUCCAUCCCCAUCUGGGCACCAGAGCAAGAUUAUGCCCUAUCGAAUAUUUUUUCAGUUCUUUGUCCAGUCUAGUUUUCAAUGUAACAAGCAAAGGGGCUUCCACCCCUCUUCCAGGGAGACUAUUCUACAGCCUCAGAAAUCUCACUGUCAGAAAGCAUUUCCUGAGAUUCAACCUAAAUUUUGCUGUGUUUAAUUUCACCCAAUUUCUCCUAGUUACACCUUUUGUAUAUCACCAGAGAUGAUCUCACUUCCUUUUAGUGUUUGCACGUACCAUGAUGGGUUGUUUACUAGCAAAUGGACAGUUUUAUGAAUAUAUUGGAAUAUGGGUAGUUCUAAAUUAUUGUUAGUUUUAAAAAUGUGGUAAAGUACUUGGAAUUAAGAAAUGCACGAUAAAUAUCAAAAUAAAUAAAAUGCUUUUGGCAGACUGUUACCAUGACUCACCUUACGAAUUACUUAGCCCAGGAAAAGAAUUUGUUAAACUGGAGUUAAGAUUAUAAA
This is an RNA transcript of Chelonia mydas (Green sea turtle), 4136 nucleotides long. It is a transcript of the gene named maestro heat-like repeat-containing protein family member 1, with no coding region annotated. The record is from RefSeq and is a predicted model, not a curated record. NCBI's taxonomy places the organism in Eukaryota, Metazoa, Chordata, Testudines, Cheloniidae. The transcript has 33 exons.